GAUGAAGAACGUAGCGAAAUGCGAUAAGUAAUGUGAAUUGCAGAAUUCAGUGAAUCAUCGAAUCUUUGAACGCACAUUGGGCCCGCCAGUAUUCUGGCGGGCAUGCCUGUCUGAGCGUCAUUUCAACCCUCAUGCCCCUAGGGCGUGGUGUUGGGGAUCGGCCAAAGCCCGCGAGGGACGGCCGGCCCCUAAAUCUAGUGGCGGACCCGUCGUGGCCUCCUCUGCGAAGUAGUGAUAUUCCGCAUCGGAGAGCGAUGAGCCCCUGCCGUUAAACCCCCAACUUUCCAAGGUUGACCUCAGAUCAGGUAGGAAUACCCGCUGAACUUAAGCAUAUCAAUAAGCGGAGGA
RNAcentral lists this unclassified non-coding RNA (348 nucleotides) under soil metagenome. Its description in RNAcentral is "partial contains 5.8S ribosomal RNA, internal transcribed spacer 2, and large subunit ribosomal RNA". The stretch from base 1 to 120 matches the Rfam family "5.8S ribosomal RNA", at positions 35 to 154 of the family's 154-position model. The record is from RNAcentral.